UACAGAGGUGGCAAGCGUUGUUCGGAAUUACUGGGCGUAAAGGGCGCGUAGGCGGCCUUCUAAGUCAGACGUGAAAUCCCCAGGCUUAACUUGGGAACUGCGUCUGAUACUGGGAGGCUUGAGUGCGGGAGAGGGAUGUGGAAUUCCAGGUGUAGCGGUGAAAUGCGUAGAUAUCUGGAGGAAUACCGGUGGCGAAGGCGGCAUCCUGGACCAUUUACUGACGCUGAGGCGCGAAAGCUAGGGGAGCAAACGGG
RNAcentral lists this ribosomal RNA (254 nucleotides) under uncultured bacterium. RNAcentral's name for it is "partial 16S ribosomal RNA". It matches the Rfam family "Bacterial small subunit ribosomal RNA", at positions 524 to 776 of the family's 1533-position model. The record is from RNAcentral.